This 243-nucleotide long non-coding RNA is filed under the name Setaria viridis. Its description in RNAcentral is "long non-coding RNA (SVIR_LNC000333)". The record is from RNAcentral. Lineage: Eukaryota; Viridiplantae; Streptophyta; Magnoliopsida; Poales; Poaceae.
CAAUAAUUUUUUGUGACCAUCUAUCAUACGCUGUAACUUUUUUGAUUCCUUCUCAGUUUCACAGUCUUUCUGUGCAUCCCAUAGCACCUGACCAAGAUCAUCAAUAGGGCUAUUUUCUGCAAACUCUCCUUCAUCAGUCUCGCUCAUUGUAGUAUUUGCAAAAGAUUGGCAUGCAGCCCAGUCCGGAAUGUUGUUAUCAUCCUCCUCUUCUUUGUCGUCUUCCAUUAUAACCCCUCUUUCGUC